CACACAGCUGUCCCGGACACGCCUACUCCUGACCCAACCGUGUCAUUCACCUUUUUCUGGAGUGAUGACGUGGUACGGUAGUAAAAAAAAAAAAAAGAUUGCGCAGUACUACGAGAGUAUGAAUGGCGGCGUCCGGCUUCCUUGUUUUUUCGAUUGAAAAUCCGCGUUACCUACAACCGCGGUGCUCACGGCAGAAUUCUCCAAGCAAUGCAAUCUUGGAUGUCAUGCACCUCGUGGAGCUACGGCGGAUAAUCGUCUGAUGUGGAAGGAAACGCACGGACGGCCUUGACUUCACUGAGCAGGACUCACGAGACAAAAAGGGUCCUGGGGGAGUUCAUUGUUUCCCGGGUGCCCUAUGAAGCCUCCCCACACCGCAUUCAAGCAAGCAAAUGGAAGAACAUCGCUCAUCAAACUUUUUCUUUAAUAAAUCAUUUAAACACA
Molecule: long non-coding RNA, 441 nt
Organism: Thunnus maccoyii (southern bluefin tuna)
Lineage: Eukaryota; Metazoa; Chordata; Actinopteri; Scombriformes; Scombridae
Exons: 2
Source: RefSeq, a predicted model, not a curated record